RNAcentral lists this ribosomal RNA (1049 nucleotides) under soil metagenome. RNAcentral describes it as "bacterial LSU rRNA". It matches the Rfam family "Bacterial large subunit ribosomal RNA", at positions 1564 to 2596 of the family's 2925-position model. The record is from RNAcentral.
UGAUGCCGAGCCCUUUUGGGUGAAGUGGGUAAUCCUAUGCUGUCGAGAAAAACCUCUAGCGAGCUACGCGCCGCCCGUACCCCAAACCGACUCAGGUGAUCAGGUAGAGAAUACUAAGGCGAUCGAGUGAACCAUGGUUAAGGAACUCGGCAAAAUGCCCCCGUAACUUCGGGAGAAGGGGGGCCUGAGGCGUGAAGGGAUUUACUCCUGGAGCGUUUGAAGGCCGCAGAGACCAGUGGGAAGCGACUGUUUACUAAAAACACAGGUCCGUGCUAAGUCGCAAGACGAUGUAUACGGACUGACGCCUGCCCGGUGCUGGAAGGUUAAGAGGACCGGUCAACCACUUCGGUGGUGAAGCUGAGAAUUUAAGCCCCAGUAAACGGCGGUGGUAACUAUAACCAUCCUAAGGUAGCGAAAUUCCUUGUCGGGUAAGUUCCGACCUGCACGAAUGGCGUAACGACUUCUCAACUGUCUCAACCAUAGACUCGGCGAAAUUGCACUACGAGUAAAGAUGCUCGUUACGCGCGGCAGGACGAAAAGACCCCGGGACCUUCACUACAACUUGGUAUUGGAGUUCGUUACGGUUUGUGUAGGAUAGGUGGGAGACUGUGAAGCAUUAACGCCAGUUAGUGUGGAGUCAUUGUUGAAAUACCACUCUGAUCGUAUUGGGCUUCUAACUUCGAACCGUAUAUCCGGUUCAGGGACAGUGCCUGGUGGGUAGUUUAACUGGGGCGGUUGCCUCCUAAAAUGUAACGGAGGCGCCCAAAGGUUCCCUCAGCCUGGUUGGCAAUCAGGUGUUGAGUGUAAGUGCACAAGGGAGCUUGACUGUGAGACCGACGGGUCGAGCAGGGACGAAAGUCGGGACUAGUGAUCCGGCAUCUCCUGGUGGAAGGGGUGUCGCUCAACGGAUAAAAGGUACCCCGGGGAUAACAGGCUGAUCUUCCCCAAGAGUCCAUAUCGACGGGAUGGUUUGGCACCUCGAUGUCGGCUCGUCGCAUCCUGGGGCUGGAGCAGGUCCCAAGGGUUGGGCUGUUCGCCCAUUAAAGCGG